Astatotilapia calliptera (eastern happy) is the source of this 1108-nucleotide long non-coding RNA. The record is from Ensembl. NCBI's taxonomy places the organism in Eukaryota, Metazoa, Chordata, Actinopteri, Cichliformes, Cichlidae.
CCACAAGGCUCUGUACUAGGUCCAAAAUUAUUAUUUAUAUAAAAGAUAUUUGGAAGGUAUCUGAUAUAUUACAAUUAGUAUUAUUUGCAGGUGACACAAAUACUGGGGGGUUUCUAAAGGAGAUGCUGGAUACGUUCACUUCAGAAAUGUGCAAAAUUAAAAAAUGGUUUUUAACUAUCGCUAAAUCUAAGUAAAACUAAAAUCGUUUAGUUUUAGUUGGGAACUCCCAAAGAAACUCAUAAGUGCAGAUGACAAUAGAUGAUAAAAUAAGCUGGACGUCUCAUGUAAACAAAAUUUCAAGAAGUAUUUCAAUUUUGAGUAAAGUAAAACACAUUCUGGACCACAAUUCACUCCACAUUCUCUAAUGUUCACUGAUUUCACUGUAUUUGCAUUACUAUGCAGAGGUUUGGGGCAAUACUUAGAAAUGUUUGCUAUCAUCAGUCUUCAUACUGCAAAACAGGGCCAUAAGGAUAAACCAUAAAACUGGUUACAGAGAUCAUACAAAUCCACUAUUCUUAAAAUCAAAAAUACUAAAAUUCACAACUCUGGUUCAUUUUCUCACUGUGCAAAUUAUAUAUAAAGCAAUAAACAACCUACUUCCUGACAAUAUUCUUAAAUUGUUUUCUAAAAGGGAACGGGGAAACAAUUUGAGGGGAGAAUUAAAGUUAAAACAUCCCUGUAUCUGUACAACAGUAAAAAGUUUUUGCAUCUCUGUUUAUGGAGUGAAGUAACUAUAUGCUUUAUUAAAAAAACAAAAAAAACAAACAUCUUAACCCUAAUUUUAACAGUAGAGAGGGCGUCUGUCUCCAGAAUCCAAACUGGGAGCUGGUUCCACAGAAGAGGGGCCUGAAAACUGAAGGCUCUGCCUCCCAUUCUACAUUUAAAUACCUGAGGAACCAAAAGUGUGCCAGGAGGCUGAGAGUGAAGAGCUUUACUGGGGUUUAAAAACCAGGUCUCCUGUCCUCAUUGCCAUAGCCGUGUGUCUGACACGAUAGUAUCAGAGACACGAUAGUAUCAGAGACACCUGGUCUCACUGACAUCAAGCAGAGCCCUGAGUAGAAACAACAGUCUUAGGCCUUGAACUUUCAAGAUUUUUCAUCAAUAAGAC